Molecule: ribosomal RNA, 465 nt
Filed under: uncultured bacterium
Lineage: Bacteria
Description: partial 16S ribosomal RNA
Rfam family: Bacterial small subunit ribosomal RNA
Source: RNAcentral
CCUACGGGAGGCAGCAGUGGGGAAUAUUGCGCAAUGGGCGAAAGCCUGACGCAGCGACGCCGCGUGAGGGAUGAAGGUCUUCUGAUCGUAAACCUCUGUCAGCAGGGAAGCACGGUCACUGUGCUAAUCAGCAGUGCAUUGACGGUACCUGCAAAGGCAGCACCGGCUAACUCCGUGCCAGCAGCCGCGGUAAUACGGAGGGUGCGAGCGUUAAUCGGAAUUACUGGGCGUAAAGCGCUCGUAGGCGGUAUGUCAAGUCAAGGGUGAAAUCCCCGCGCUCAACGUGGGAACUGCCUUUGAAACUGGGAAACUGGAGUGUGUGAGAGGAUAGUGGAAUUCCAGGUGUAGGAGUGAAAUCCGUAGAUAUCUGGAGGAACAUCAGUGGCGAAGGCGACUAUCUGGCACAUAACUGACGCUGAGGAGCGAAAGCGUGGGUAGCAAACAGGAUUAGAUACCCUUGUAGUC